Long non-coding RNA from Chinchilla lanigera (long-tailed chinchilla), 3058 nucleotides. The record is from Ensembl. Lineage: Eukaryota; Metazoa; Chordata; Mammalia; Rodentia; Chinchillidae.
GGAUUUAGCUCAGCGGCAAAGCGCCUGCCUGGCAAGUGCAAGGUCGAGAGUUCGGUUCCCGGUACCGGAGAAAAAAAAAAAAAAAAAGAAGUGAUAGAGUUCAAGGCUGAAAGACAGCUUGGCAUGCAGACCUCAUCUUGUGUGGAGGCACUUCCUGGGGACUGUCCUGUUGGCCCCACAUCAGGCAGGCUGCGGAGGCAGGGAACAUCACUGCACCCCCACACCAGGGGUUUGAAGAUGGCAGAGACUCUAGAAUAUGGGAUGCUCAUCUCUUUGGGAGAGAUGCUGAGGAUGUGAUGUCAGAAGGUACUAUGACCUCACUAGCCACAGGGGAAGCAAGCAGUGUCAUCAGAAUGCUCUGCAGAGGACUCGGACAGGCUGGGAUGAGAUAAUGGGAAGAGAAGAGUAACACAAGACACUGCUCUUGUCCACUGGACCACAGAGAAAACCUGCUCUGCACCCUGUCAAAGGGUAUGACAGAAAACAUGAGACAGGAGACUCUGGUCAGAUCGUCCCGUCAACAUGUCCUGUGCAUGCUGUCAUCCUGGGAGACAGUGAGGCUGCAGCUUAUCAAGGAGACCUCAGCAUCGGCGCCAGUUGGGGGUCCCCACCCUGCAGAGGGAGUGGGGUCGCAAGGAGGGAGUUCCGCGUAUUGUUCCUCGCAGUUCUGCUACUGGCACCAUCGUCUAUCCACAAGCACCAGCAGAAACAAAUGCUCACCCCAGGUGCCCUUCUGUGACAUCGUCUCCCUCUUUCGGCCAGGGACCAAUCAAGGAACCCUCCAGCAAGAGCAAGAACACACACAGAAUAGUCACCAACAUAGUUGCUCACUGACUCAGAACUCCUGAAACUACAGGUAGGACCAAAGACUGUACUUCUUCCAGCACAUACAGUGCUUAUAAUAAAGCUUAAUAUAUAAAUCAGGUACAGCAAGAAGUUAACAACACUCAUAAUAAAAUCAAAAACUUAGAACAAUAUAGUGCAGUGAAAUUUCCAGUAUUACCACUCUUGUACUGUGGUCAAUUAGUUAGUAAAACAAGGGUGAUCAGUUACCUGUUCAGAACCACGUUGGCUCCUACAUGACUAACCAGGGCUGCAUACACUGUGUGGACACAGUGGACAGAGGGGUCACCUGAGGUGGAGUAGUACCUGUGAGAUUUCACCCUGCUACUCAACCUUGUGCAAUGCAUGGAUUAUUUAUUUCUGGAACUUUCCAUUUAAUAUUUUGGACUCAGGUGACCCAGAGUGACAGGAAGUAGAAGUAAUGACAAAGGAGGCAAGGUCACAAGCCCCACUGCCUGCCCUGCACACAGCCUGACCCCAUCUCUAUCCACCAUGGAUUCCUUCUAUUAACUGUAAAGCCCAGGAAAUUAUGAUUCCUCCAGUGUCGUGUCCUAGAGACAAUGUCAGUCUUGAGGACUUGGCAUCCAUGGAUGUAAUCACAUUUAUAAACUUACUAAUGGACAGCAAGAGCAGAAGUGGCAUCUAAGUGACUGACUGAUAUGAGCAGUUGUUCCCAGCAUCCGUGGCGAGAAGGAUCAGUUGAGGGACCUGCUGGAGAAACACUCCCCUGGUAAGCAACCAGGCCAGUUACAGGAGGUCCUGUUAAGUCUGAAUUUUAGGCACGAAGAGUGUUUAUUAUAGUCUCACCCAAUAUUUGAGCCAUAUUUAUACUUACUAAAAUAUCUGUCACUUAUUUGAAAUUUAAAUCUAGCUGAGCAUCCUGUGUUUUCAUUUGCCAAAUGGCAACCCUAAUAGUUCUACACCACUAAACCGCUCUUGAGCACCUGGAAUUAGGCUCAAUAAUCUGAAAUUUCAUCAAAUCCUUGUUGAAUUCUGGUUAUCAGCCUGGGGAUCCUGGUGAAGGAGCAGCAAUCCCCUUCCAGACCCUCCUCGGGGCCACCUGCUUCCCUCCAACCCAGGACUCACUGCCUUACACGCAGGGUACCAUGUGGUGCCCUGGCUAGGGCUCCACAGGGGGCUGGGAUGCCAGGCGGAGCUGGCUCUUGAAGUGCUUGCUCCAUAGCUUUGGGAAGUGACACAUUUUUUAUGUCAGGAUAAAAAUAAACAAAACCAAAGUCAAGAGAGUUCUGUCCAUCGUGCUUUCUCUACUUGCCAGCUGUACAAACUUGGAAAGCACUUAGGCCCUGUGAUCCUCAGCCAUUUACUUUUUUCAUUAAGGAAAUAUUCCUUGAGUGCCCUUGUGUGUGAGGUCCUUUGCCAAGCCUGGGAGACACCAGAAACAGGCAGGAUGGUGGGGUCCUGGCUCACAGGGGGCACCUAAAUAUGGUCAGCUCCCUCAUCCCUGGAUCCACCUCAUACUCACCAACUCAGAUCAAAAAUGCCAAAAAGAACUUUCAUCUUUUCCUUGUCCUACUCCCUAAACAAUACAGCACAGCAGCUGUCUGCCUGGCAUUUGCCCUGCAUCAGGUGCUGUAAGUGAUCUAAUCUGUGUGUACAUUCUACAUGAUGCCUACAGCAUUUCAUCUGCAUCUACAUCAGCAUCACGGAGGUGAGUAUCUGUGCAGAGACUGAGGGUUGACUGCACAGCUAACUAAAAAUGCAAAUGUGGCAAAAACAAUCACCCAGGCACUGCACGGGCAUGUGUGAUGAGAGCAGGGGCACCUGCAGUCAUUGUCCCUGAAACCACCUCUGAGAAGGUGCCCAUAACGCCGGGGCUCUGUGUGGACAGAAGCCCUCCAAGAAGGCAGCUCCGCAAGGACCCCUGCUCCAGACCUUGGAGCCCGCAUAAGCCGUGAUCCCAGGCAUAUUAGCACGGCUCUUAUUUUCUGUAACCCGAUGCUUUGGCACUGGGGCCUGCUGACCCAGAGGGAUGGCCCUCCCAGGCAUGGGCAGUUCCCAAAGAUUGCCAACAUCUGGACUGUGCACACCUCUCAUGUGUAAACCAACCAACACAGAGCCCACAUCCAGCCACCUCCCUACUGAGUUCUCCUGCAACAUGGAUUACAAAUUGCUUAGGGUGGUCUGUGCCAGGGACUACAUCAUUCCUUCCUUUCACAUCUGCAGUUUUCUGUGUCUUUUUUUUUUGUAUUAUUGC